UGAACGCUGGCGGCGUGCCUAAUACAUGCAAGUAGAACGCUGAAGGAAGGAGCUUGCUCUUUCCGGAUGAGUUGCGAACGGGUGAGUAACGCGUAGGUAACCUGCCUGGUAGCGGGGGAUAACUAUUGGAAACGAUAGCUAAUACCGCAUAACAGUAGAUAUUGCAUGAUAUCUGCUUGAAAGGGGCAAUUGCUCCACUACCAGAUGGACCUGCGUUGUAUUAGCUAGUUGGUGAGGUAACGGCUCACCAAGGCGACGAUACAUAGCCGACCUGAGAGGGUGAUCGGCCACACUGGGACUGAGACACGGCCCAGACUCCUACGGGAGGCAGCAGUAGGGAAUCUUCGGCAAUGGACGGAAGUCUGACCGAGCAACGCCGCGUGAGUGAAGAAGGUUUUCGGAUCGUAAAGCUCUGUUGUAAGAGAAGAACGAGUGUGAGAGUGGAAAGUUCACACUGUGACGGUAUCUUACCAGAAAGGGACGGCUAACUACGUG
Molecule: ribosomal RNA, 495 nt
Filed under: uncultured Streptococcus sp.
Lineage: Bacteria; Bacillati; Bacillota; Bacilli; Lactobacillales; Streptococcaceae
Description: bacterial SSU rRNA
Rfam family: Bacterial small subunit ribosomal RNA
Source: RNAcentral